RNAcentral lists this ribosomal RNA (497 nucleotides) under uncultured bacterium. Its description in RNAcentral is "partial 16S ribosomal RNA". It matches the Rfam family "Bacterial small subunit ribosomal RNA", at positions 28 to 507 of the family's 1533-position model. The record is from RNAcentral.
GAUGAACGCUGGCGGCGUGCCUAAUACAUGCAAGUCGAGCGAACGGACGAGAAGCUUGCUUCUCUGAUGUUAGCGGCGGACGGGUGAGUAACACGUGGAUAACCUACCUAUAAGACUGGGAUAACUUCGGGAAACCGGAGCUAAUACCGGAUGAUAUUUUGAACCGCAUGGUUCAAAAGUGAAAGACGGUCUUGCUGUCACUUAUAGAUGGAUCCGCGCUGCAUUAGCUAGUUGGUAAGGUAACGGCUUACCAAGGCAACGAUGCAUAGCCGACCUGAGAGGGUGAUCGGCCACACUGGAACUGAGACACGGUCCAGACUCCUACGGGAGGCAGCAGUAGGGAAUCUUCCGCAAUGGGCGAAAGCCUGACGGAGCAACGCCGCGUGAGUGAUGAAGUUCUUCGGAUCGUAAAACUCUGUUAUUAGGGAAGAACAUAUGUGUAAGUAACUGUGCACAUCUUGACGGUACCUAAUCAGAAAGCCACGGCUAACUACGUG